UCUCAGAACUGCUUCCAACUAACUUGUGGGCAUUGGUUAAUUUUUUUUUUUGGGGGGGGGGGACUUUUCUUGAUGUAGCCAGACAUUCUGAGGAAGCUGAUUGUCUUCGCUGCUGUUUUGAGCCCUGUGGAAUCGUCCAGCACUGCUUGGACCUGACAACUUGGACCUGCCAAGCUGAAGUGGAUCUGACCUGUCAGAAUGUGUGUCCUUGUAAAAACAAUGAGCAGCAAAGGAGAGAAGAACCAUGGAGAACAGCACUGCCUGAACCCGUGGCUCUUACAAUGGUCCUCCCGCAAACUGGGGCCUCUGGCACCCGAGCAUGGGCUGCCGGGGUGUGAAGAAACGGACCACAGCUCCUGUCCCUGCAGUACUUUCACAUCUCAAGUUGUCACUCAACCUGGUAUCAUUAGCUUCUUAUUGUGUUAGGAAUUAUACAUAAAAAUCAAGCCAGGCACCAUGGCUCAUCCCUGUAAUCCCAGAACUUGAGGGGCAGAGGCAGAAGGGUCUCUGUGAGUUCAAAGCCAGCCUGGUCUAUAUAAUGAGUUCCAGGCCAGUC
Peromyscus maniculatus bairdii (prairie deer mouse) is the source of this 556-nucleotide non-coding RNA. Lineage: Eukaryota; Metazoa; Chordata; Mammalia; Rodentia; Cricetidae. The record is from RefSeq and is a predicted model, not a curated record.